AGGACGAACGCCGGCGGCGUGCUUAACACAUGCAAGUCGAGCGGAAAGGCCCUUCGGGGUACUCGAGCGGCGAACGGGUGAGUAACACGUGAGUAACCUGCCCCAAACUUUGGGAUAACCCCCGGAAACGGGGGCUAAUACCGGAUACGACACAUGGCUGCAUGGUUUGUGUGUGGAAAGUAUUUUUUGGUUGGGAUGGGCUCGCGGCCUAUCAGUCUUGGUUGGUGGGGUGAUGGCCUACCAAGGCGACGACGGGUAG
RNAcentral lists this ribosomal RNA (259 nucleotides) under uncultured bacterium. RNAcentral's name for it is "partial small subunit ribosomal RNA". It matches the Rfam family "Bacterial small subunit ribosomal RNA", at positions 26 to 286 of the family's 1533-position model. The record is from RNAcentral.